UGGCCGGGCACUGCCACGUCAGCGAGAGGCACCGCAACCUGGCCGCCCUCGACUUUCCCUUCUGGAGAGGGAGGAGCCCUGUGGCGUGAGGUACCCCAGGGACGGCUUCGGGGCUACAGGAAAGCCUUGCUCCAAAAACGACAACGGGCACCUUUGCGUCCGAAUUGCUGUCGAUCAUGUUUCAUACAACUGAAAGAAGUUUCUAGAACCUUAUUAUCCUGGUUCUCUGCUCAAAAAGAAGCCUGAGCAACUGGGCUGAGAUGAGCUCGUGUAUGUAUGUUUAUCAGCAAAUAACCAGUAGCUUCUGACAUCUCAGCUUUCUUUCUAUAAGACAGGAAAGGUUUAGUAUCAGAAAUACAUGGAUACAGAAAGAAAA
This is a long non-coding RNA of Mastomys coucha (southern multimammate mouse), 376 nucleotides long. RefSeq lists it as uncharacterized. NCBI's taxonomy places the organism in Eukaryota, Metazoa, Chordata, Mammalia, Rodentia, Muridae. The record is from RefSeq and is a predicted model, not a curated record. The transcript has 2 exons.